AGAGUUUGAUCCUGGCUCAGGAUGAACGCUGGCGGCGUGCCUAAUACAUGCAAGUCGAGCGGUAAGGCCUCUUCGGAGGUACACGAGCGGCGGACGGCUGAGUAACACGUAGGAACGUACCCCAAAGUGAGGCACAAGCACCAGAAAUGGUGCCUAAUACCGCAUAUGGCCUUAGGGUUAAAGUACUUCGGACGCUUUGGGAACGGCCUGCGCAUGAUUAGCUUGUUGGUGAGGUAAUAGCUCACCAAGGCGACGAUCAUUAGCUGGUCUGAGAGGAUGAUCAGCCAGACUGGGACUGAGAACGGCCCAGACUCCUACGGGAGGCGAC
Molecule: ribosomal RNA, 328 nt
Filed under: uncultured prokaryote
Description: bacterial SSU rRNA
Rfam family: Bacterial small subunit ribosomal RNA
Source: RNAcentral